GCAUAUCCGUAGACCUUGCCUGAUC
This 25-nucleotide non-coding RNA is filed under the name Cricetulus griseus (Chinese hamster). Lineage: Eukaryota; Metazoa; Chordata; Mammalia; Rodentia; Cricetidae. The record is from RNAcentral.